Molecule: ribosomal RNA, 578 nt
Filed under: uncultured bacterium
Lineage: Bacteria
Description: bacterial SSU rRNA
Rfam family: Bacterial small subunit ribosomal RNA
Source: RNAcentral
CCUACGGGAGGCAGCAGUAGGGAAUGUUGGUCAAUGGAGGCAGCUCUGAACCAGCCAUGCCGCGUGCAGGAAGACAGCCCUCUGGGUCAUAAACUGCUUUUAUUCGGGAAUAAACCUUAUUACGUGUAAUAAGCUGAAUGUACCGAAGGAAUAAGGAUCGGCUAACUCCGUGCCAGCAGCCGCGGUAAUACGGAGGAUCCAAGCGUUAUCCGGAUUUAUUGGGUUUAAAGGGUGCGUAGGCGGCUUAUUAAGUCAGGGGUGAAAGACGGUGGCUCAACCAUCGCAGUGCCUUUGAUACUGAUGAGCUUGAAUGAACUAGAGGUAGGCGGAAUGUGACAAGUAGCGGUGAAAUGCAUAGAUAUGUCACAGAACACCGAUUGCGAAGGCAGCUUACUAUGGUUUUAUUGACGCUGAGGCACGAAAGCGUGGGGAUCAAACAGGAUUAGAUACCCUGGUAGUCCACGCCCUAAACGAUGAAUACUCGCUGUUAGCGAUAUACAGUUAGCGGCUAAGCGAAAGCGUUAAGUAUUCCACCUGGGGAGUACGCCCGCAAGGGUGAAACUCAAAGGAAUUGACGG